GUCAAUUCUGCCCAAUGGGAGCGUAGCCUGAUUGUCUAGUUAGGUUGAUUCUUUGAGAGACAGCUGUUGAGAGAAACGUUUAACGUAUAGCUAACCUUUAGUCAGUGUUUUUACCUGUUCGGAGGCAUCUUUUUUAUUUGUAAAUCGGUCUAUGGCUCAACACAAACUUUGUCAUUAGGUUGUCAGCUUUUAAAGGCAUGAACAGGCUCAAAAAGAAGAAACAAAACGCAGGAGUUGAGGUGAAUGGGAAUGGAUCUGUCACAAGAGAGACAGAUUGUGGGAGGAAACAGAAGUUAGCUGAGAUCCAUCAGGCUUUGAUCAGUGAUCCAGUGGACAUUGAGACCCUGAGGAGGGCAGCAGGCAGUAAGGGAGGGCUGCUCACCGAUGAACUGAGGAGGAAGGUCUGGCCCAAACUACUGAACAUCAAUGUGUACGAUCUGCCUCAUAAACCUGGUCGAGAUGUGAGGGAAAACCACAAGGACUUUAACCAAGUAGUCCUUGAUGUCAGGAGGUCUAUGAAGCGGUUCCCUAAAGGCAUGCGAGCCUCAGAGAGAGCUGUGCUUCAGGAGCAGAUGAUUGACAUCAUACUGGAGGUUUUGAAACGCACCCCCCAGCUCCAUUACUACCAAGGCUACCAUGAUGUGGCGGUCACUCUGCUGCUGGUGGCUGGGGAGCGGAUGACCAUCGCCAUGCUGGACACUCUGUCCAAUCACCAUCUCAGGGAUUUCAUGGAUCCUACCAUGGACCGCACUAAACACAUUUUAAACUACCUGAUGCCUAUAUUGGAACAAGUUGAUACAGAACUACAUGACUUCAUGAUCAGAGCGGAGGUGGGAACCAUCUUCGCCCUGUCCUGGCUCAUCACAUGGUACGGCCACGUGCUGUCAGACUUCAAACACACCAUGAGACUCUACGACUUCUUCCUGGCCUCACACCCUCUGAUGCCCAUCUACCUCGCUGCUACGAUUGUGUUACACAGAGAGAAGGAGGUGAAGAAGACUGAGUGUGACAUGGCCAUGGUCCACCACCUCCUCUCCCGCAUCCCCCAGGACCUCCCAUACGAACUUCUGAUUGGCCAGGCCCAGGACCUGUUCGACCAGUACCCUCCAUCCCUACUGGCCAAGCGGGCAGCACUGCAGCCCCGCAAGAGUCUGUCCAUCAGCACCUUCCAGGCGUUUCAGCUUGCCACCCUCCAUCAGAGGCCCGACUCCGUUCUCAAACGCCUCACCAAGACCCAGGGCUCCAGCACCUCCAGACAAGCCUCUCGAUACUCAGGUGUGGAAGCAGCUUUGCCCCAAGAGCGAGGCCAGCUGUGGGGGAAGGGGAACCGGAUGGUGAAGAUGGCAGUGUGGGGGCUGUCCGCCACGCUCGGGGCCGCCGUGUUCGCUGUGGCUCAGACGGCUAUGGACUGGGGACCCGAGGCGUUGCUACAACUGUUCUGAGGUGGCGCUGGGGAUUUAGACCAUUAGACACACAGUGACACAUGUUGACAGCAGACACACAUCUGCUCUUCAGACGGAUUAACAAUGAACAAACAAACGUACACAUGCAAAGACAUUUAAGCUCUUUUCUCCUGCUGAGAGGUAAGUUAUCCUGGUGCCAAACAGGUUGUUGCUACUCAACCACAAUGAACAUAUGUUAGCCACUAGCAAGCCUUGGGAUGUGUGUGCAUGUGUGUGAGCAGGUGGUUGUGUGAUAUAUGUUUGAGUAUCUCGUACCUCAUGCUGCAUGUGAGCAUGAAUGGAUGACUGAGUUCGCCUACUGCGCACCUUGACCUCUUGGGCCCCUGGGCCAGAGACUUUUUUUUUUUUUUCAAUCAAUCAAAAGACCAAAAAGAGACAGAAAGCAAUCACCAACAACCAAAAAUACAAUGCAUCACACCUUAAGAGACCCAAAAAAAACAACGUUAAUUGACCACAUAAAGACGCGAAACAACCUCAAGAACAAGCAACACAACCACAUAGACAUAAAACGCUGACACAAAUACACAACACCACUGCUCAUGGUCCUUUCAUGCAUGUGAGACACUAACACUGAAUUGUUGGUGUAACAUGUCUGUGCAUUUGCUGCUUAUUUUGCAGACUAAUUUUUUGAAUUUCAUGCCUGUUUCCUUGCACUUCUGUUGUUGGUGUUUAAGUGCGCUUGUUGGAUCUGCAGCCAUAUCUGAAAAGUGCACAUAGCCAGCACGAUGACACAUGAAUACAAAUUAUUAAAGAGUGGUGUUUUCAGCUGAAAGCUUCCAGUUAUGAGCAAAAAAGGAGAGAGGGAGAGAAAAGGCAAAGAUGGAGGGAGAGAUUUUUCCUGUGAGCCACUGGUAUUAAUUGCUUUACUGCGGGUGUCAGCAUAUUACAUUUAGAGUAGAGUUUGACACACAAAACGAGUUGUUGCUGCCUUAAAAUGUGAACAUUACACAAGGUUAGCACGCUGCACUCGAUGCAAGCAGUUGGCCUUUGGUUGUGUUGUUAAGGGGAAGACACAAGUACUUUUACAUUCUUGAAAUAUUUAUCAGGUUUGCAGCAACAUCCACCCUGAGCAGCCUUCAAGAGAACAUCAUAUUUCUCGUACGCAUUUUACAGCUACUGUACUGUGAUUAUUUUAUGUAGGAAGAAAUUGUGUUUUUUAUUUCAUUAAGUAAAUAAGUUAACAACCUGUAUAGCACACCCUGUAGAUAUUGUUGGAUUAAACAUAAUCAAUGAGUUUCAGCGCCCGAAAAGUAAACAUGAAUUAAUAAUACAGACGUUCCAACUGAGGUGCAUACAUAUGUACAGGGCACGGGGGGUCUCCAAACAGCAAUGCAUGCUCUGUGUCGACUUAUGUUCUGAAAUAUUUAUCGGCUUUUACUAGCAUGUUGCCUGGUUGCGUCUGUUAACACAACUUCACCGGGAUCCCAACACUCCUCCUCUUUUUCCGACAUCAGAUAUACGUGUGUGCUAUCUUUGCACAGUCGGAUUUCAUGUGAAGUUUACCCUGUUGAUGUAUGUUGCUCUGAAGCACGUUAAUUCAACUGGUGUGUGCUUUGUUGUGUAUGAAAUUACAGAAGAAAGAGAGAAAAUCAAAUGUUUAGCCUCAGGGCAAUUUGACAAGGAUGACAGAGCUCAGUAGUUCACAAACCAAUCAAUCUAUCACUCCAUUAAGUAGUAAUUAUAUUAAAAAGUCAAUACAUAAAUCAAUAAACUCAGGUAGUCUGCUGGUCUUUAAGCCAGUUAGGAUUCAGACACCGAGUCAGUCGGCGUGCUGCGUUGCUUGUUGGAAAAGCCUCUGCAUGUUCCCCUCAUCAGUCGGACAAGCUAUGUGAUGUAAAACAUCAUGUGUGCGUGGUCGGAUGAUUAAAUGCAAUAAGUGUGUGCUUGUAGUUUGUGUGUGUGUGUGUGUGUGUGUGUGUGUGUGUGUGUGUGUGUGUGUG
Molecule: RNA transcript, 3403 nt
Organism: Trematomus bernacchii (emerald rockcod)
Lineage: Eukaryota; Metazoa; Chordata; Actinopteri; Perciformes; Nototheniidae
Exons: 11
Source: RefSeq, a predicted model, not a curated record